AGCAGCCGCGGUAAUUCCAGCUCCAAUAGCGUAUAUUAAAGUUGUUGCAGUUAAAAAGCUCGUAGUUGAAUUUCGGGAUCAAUAUAUCGGUCGUGCCAUUGGUACGUACUGGUAUCAUUGGUUUCUCCUUUCUGACGAACCAUGAUGUCAUUAAUUUGGUGUUAUGGGAAGUUAGGACUGUUACUUUGAAAAAAUUAGAGUGUUUAAAGCAGGCUUUAGCUUGAAUACAUUAGCAUGGAAUAAUGAAAUAGGACGUUCGAACCUAUUUUGUUGGUUUCUAGGAUCAACGUAAUGAUUAAUAGGGAUAGUUGGGGGCAUUAGUGAUUCAAUUGUCAGAGGUGAAAUUCUUGGAUUUAUUGGAAGACUAACUACUGCGAAAGCAUUUGCCAAGGAUGUUUUCAUUAAUCAAGAACGAAAGUUAGGGGAUCGAAGACGAUCAGAUACCGUCGUAGUCUUAACCAUAAACUAUGCCGACUAGGGAUCGGAUGAUGUUAAUUUUUUUAAUUGACUCAUUCGGCGC
RNAcentral lists this ribosomal RNA (520 nucleotides) under uncultured Glomus. RNAcentral describes it as "SSU rRNA". It matches the Rfam family "Eukaryotic small subunit ribosomal RNA", at positions 569 to 1086 of the family's 1831-position model. The record is from RNAcentral. Lineage: Eukaryota; Fungi; Glomeromycota; Glomeromycetes; Glomerales; Glomeraceae.